Molecule: non-coding RNA, 606 nt
Organism: Mesocricetus auratus (golden hamster)
Lineage: Eukaryota; Metazoa; Chordata; Mammalia; Rodentia; Cricetidae
Source: the annotation of a RefSeq genome assembly
AACAGCAUAUGAUCAGUGUCCUCUCCACAGUCACUGAGCACACAGGUCCUCGCCAUGGGAUGGAGUUGGAUCAUCCUCUUCCUGGUGACAGCAGCUACAGGUGUCCACUCCCAGGUCCAGCUGCUGCAAUCUGAGUCUGAGCUGGUGAAGCCUGGAGCUUCAGUGAAGCUGUCCUGCAAGACUUCAGGAUACACCUUCACUACCUAUUAUAUGCACUGGGUAAAGCAGAGGCCUGGACAGAGCCUGGAGUGGAUUGGAUGGAUUUAUCCUAAUAAUGGUAAUACUAAGUACAAUCAGAAGUUCCAGGGCACGGCCACCCUGACUGCAGAUACAUCCUCCAGCACAGCCUACAUGGAGCUCAAGAGCCUGACUUCUGAGGAUUCUGCAGUCUAUUACUGUGCAAGAGACACAGUGUUGCAACCACAUCCUGAGUGUGUCCAGUGUGAAGUACAGCUGGUGGAGUCUGGAGGAGGCUUAGCGCAGCCUGGAAAGUCCCUGAAACUCUCCUGUGCAGCCUCUGGAUUCACCUUCAGUGAUGCUGCCAUGAACUGGUUCCGCCAGGCUCCAGAAAAAGGGACUGGAGUGGGUAGCAAGCAUAAGAACUAA